RNAcentral lists this ribosomal RNA (510 nucleotides) under uncultured bacterium. RNAcentral describes it as "partial 16S ribosomal RNA". It matches the Rfam family "Bacterial small subunit ribosomal RNA", at positions 355 to 880 of the family's 1533-position model. The record is from RNAcentral.
UGGGGAAUAUUGGACAAUGGGCGCAAGCCUGAUCCAGCCAUGCCGCGUGAGUGAUGAAGGCCUUAGGGUUGUAAAGCUCUUUCGCCGGUGAAGAUAAUGACGGUAACCGGAGAAGAAGCCCCGGCUAACUUCGUGCCAGCAGCCGCGGUAAUACGAAGGGGGCUAGCGUUGCUCGGAAUCACUGGGCGUAAAGCGCACGUAGGCGGAUCGUUAAGUCAGGGGUGAAAUCCUGGAGCUCAACUCCAGAACUGCCCUUGAUACUGGCGAUCUCGAGUUCGAGAGAGGUUGGUGGAACUCCGAGUGUAGAGGUGAAAUUCGUAGAUAUUCGGAAGAACACCAGUGGCGAAGGCGGCAACUGGCUCGAUACUGACGCUGAGGUGCGAAAGCGUGGGGAGCAAAACAGGAUUAGAUACCCUGGUAGUCCACGCCGUAAAAGCGAUGGAUGCUAGCCGUUGGGGGGUUUUACCUCNCAGUGGCGCAGCUAACGCCUUAAGCAUCCCGCCUGGGGGA